GUGCCAGCAGCCGCGGUACUACCGGCAGCUCAAGUGAUGGCCACUCUUAUUGGGCCUAAAGCGUCCGUAGCUGGCCGACCAAGUCUCCCGGGAAAUCCACCCGCCCAACGGGUGGGCGUCCGGUAGAAACUGGCCGGCUUGGAACCGGAAGGCUCAGAGAGUACGUCCGGGGUAGGAGUGAAAUCCCGUAAUCCCGGACGGACCGCCGGUGGCGAAAGCGCCUCGGGAAGACGGACCCGACAGUGAGGGACGAAAGCUGGGAUCUCGAACCGGAUUAGAUACCCGAGUAGUCC
RNAcentral lists this ribosomal RNA (293 nucleotides) under uncultured bacterium. RNAcentral's name for it is "partial 16S ribosomal RNA". It matches the Rfam family "Archaeal small subunit ribosomal RNA", at positions 455 to 747 of the family's 1478-position model. The record is from RNAcentral.